AUUGAACGCUGGCGGCAUGCUUUACACAUGCAAGUCGAACGGCAGCACGGGCUUCGGCCUGGUGGCGAGUGGUGAACGGGUGAGUAAUACAUCGGAACGUACCCAGUAGUGGGGGAUAGCCCGGCGAAAGCCGGAUUAAUACCGCAUAUGCCCUGAGGGGGAAAGCGGGGGACCGAAAGGCCUCGCGCUAUUGGAGCGGCCGAUGGCUGAUUAGCUAGUUGGUGGGGUAAAGGCCUACCAAGGCGACGAUCAGUAGUUGGUCUGAGAAGACGACCGGCAACAGUGGGAAUGAGACACGGCCCAGACGUCUGCGGGAGGCAGCAGUGGGGAAUUUUGGACAAUGGGCGAAAGCCUGAUCCAGCAAUGCCGCGUAUGCGAAGAAGGCCUUCGGGUUGUAAAGCACUUUUUUGUGGAAAGAAAAGGUUUGGGUUAAUGCCCUGGACUGAUGACGGUACCAAUCGAAUAAGCACCGGCUAACUACGUGCCAGCCGCCGCCGUAA
RNAcentral lists this ribosomal RNA (500 nucleotides) under uncultured bacterium. RNAcentral describes it as "partial 16S ribosomal RNA". It matches the Rfam family "Bacterial small subunit ribosomal RNA", at positions 29 to 523 of the family's 1533-position model. The record is from RNAcentral.